RNAcentral lists this ribosomal RNA (497 nucleotides) under uncultured bacterium. RNAcentral's name for it is "partial 16S ribosomal RNA". It matches the Rfam family "Bacterial small subunit ribosomal RNA", at positions 28 to 507 of the family's 1533-position model. The record is from RNAcentral.
GACGAACGCUGGCGGCGUGCCUAAUACAUGCAAGUUGAGCGAUGAAGAUUGGUGCUUGCACCAAUUUGAAGAGCAGCGAACGGGUGAGUAACGCGUGGGGAAUCUGCCUUUGAGCGGGGGACAACAUUUGGAAACGAAUGCUAAUACCGCAUAACAACUUUAAACAUAAGUUUUAAGUUUGAAAGAUGCAAUUGCAUCACUCAAAGAUGAUCCCGCGUUGUAUUAGCUAGUUGGUGAGGUAAAGGCUCACCAAGGCGAUGAUACAUAGCCGACCUGAGAGGGUGAUCGGCCACAUUGGGACUGAGACACGGCCCAAACUCCUACGGGAGGCAGCAGUAGGGAAUCUUCGGCAAUGGACGAAAGUCUGACCGAGCAACGCCGCGUGAGGGAAGAAGGGUUUCGGAUCGUAAAACUCGGUUGGUAGAGAAGAACGUUGGUGAGAGUGGAAAGCUCAUCAAGUGACGGUAACUACACAGAAAGGGACGGCUAACUACGUG